RNAcentral lists this ribosomal RNA (233 nucleotides) under uncultured bacterium. RNAcentral describes it as "partial 16S ribosomal RNA". It matches the Rfam family "Bacterial small subunit ribosomal RNA", at positions 103 to 334 of the family's 1533-position model. The record is from RNAcentral.
CGGGUGAGUAACGCGUGAGGAACCUGCCUCAAAGAGGGGGACAACAGUUGGAAACGACUGCUAAUACCGCAUAAGCCCACGGCUCGGCAUCGAGCAGAGGGAAAAGGAGCAAUCCGCUUUGAGAUGGCCUCGCGUCCGAUUAGCUAGUUGGUGAGGUAACGGCCCACCAAGGCGACGAUCGGUAGCCGGACUGGGAGGUUGAGCGGCCACAUUGGGACUGAGACACGGCCCAG